AAUACCGGAUAACAACACUAGACGCAUGUCUAGAGUUUAAAAGAUGGUUCUGCUAUCACUCUUGGAUGGACCUGCGGUGCAUUAGCUAGUUGGUAAGGUAACGGCUUACCAAGGCAAUGAUGCAUAGCCGAGUUGAGAGACUGAUCGGCCACAUUGGGACUGAGACACGGCCCAAACUCCUACGGGAGGCAGCAGUAGGGAAUCUUCCACAAUGGACGCAAGUCUGAUGGAGCAACGCCGCGUGAGUGAAGAAGGGUUUCGGCUCGUAAAGCUCUGUUGGUAGUGAAGAAAGAUAGAGGUAGUAACUGGCCUUUAUUUGACGGUAAUUACCUAGAAAGUCACGGCUACCUACGUGCCAGCAGCCGCGGUAAUAUGUAGGUGGCAAGCGUUGUCCGGAUUUAUUGGGCGUAAAGCGAGUGCAGGCGGUUCAAUAAGUCUGAUGUGAAAGCCUUCGGCUCAGCCGGAGAAUUGCAUCAGAAACUGUUGAACUUGAGUGCAGAAGAGGAGAGUGGAACUCCAUGUGUAGCGGUGGAAUGCGUAGAUAUAUGGAAGAACACCAGUGGCGAAGGCGGCUCUCUGGUCUGCAACUGACGCUGAGGCUCGAAAGCAUGGGUAGCGAACAGGAUUAGAUACCCUGGUAGUCCAUGCCGUAAACGAUGAGUGCUAAGUGUUGGGAGGUUUCCGCCUCUCAGUGCUGCAGC
This 701-nucleotide ribosomal RNA is filed under the name uncultured bacterium. RNAcentral describes it as "bacterial SSU rRNA". It matches the Rfam family "Bacterial small subunit ribosomal RNA", at positions 165 to 852 of the family's 1533-position model. The record is from RNAcentral.